This 460-nucleotide ribosomal RNA is filed under the name uncultured bacterium. Its description in RNAcentral is "partial 16S ribosomal RNA". It matches the Rfam family "Bacterial small subunit ribosomal RNA", at positions 338 to 795 of the family's 1533-position model. The record is from RNAcentral.
CCUACGUGAGGCAGCAGUGAGGAAUAUUGGUCAAUGGGCGCUAGCCUGAACCAGCCAAGUAGCGUGAAGGAUGACUGUCCUAUGAGUUGUAAACUUCUUUUAUCUGGGAAUAAAGUGCAGUAUGUAUACUUCUUUGCAUGUACCUUAUGAAUAAGGAUCGGCUAACUCCGUGCCAGCAGCCGCGGUAAUACGGAUGAUCCGAGCGUUAUCCGGAUUUAUUGGGUGUAAAGGGAGCGUAGGCGGGAUGUUAAGUCAGUUGUGAAAGUGUGCGGCUCAACCGUAAAAUUGCAGUUGAUACUGGCAUCCUGGAGUACAGUAGAGGUAGGCGGAAUUCGUGGUGUAGCGGUGAAAUGCUGAGAUAUCACGAAGAACUCCGAUUGCGAAGGCAGCCUGCUGGACUGUAACUGACGCUGAUGCUCGAAAGUGUGGGUAUCAAACAGGAUUAGAUACCCGGGUAGUC